This is a long non-coding RNA of Homo sapiens (human), 407 nucleotides long. RefSeq lists it as uncharacterized. Lineage: Eukaryota; Metazoa; Chordata; Mammalia; Primates; Hominidae. The transcript is spliced from 3 exons. The record is from RefSeq and is a predicted model, not a curated record.
AUGCCUGGAACUGCAUAAAUUUCUUCUACAAAGGAAGCCCACAGGUCGUUUUUAUUUGGAGCACUUUUUUUAAUAUGCGCCACAAUAUAUUCCGGAAUAUCAGACAUUAAUGAACCAGUAAAGAAGAUACUGAGGUGCAGAAGAGCUUUCCCAGUGUCCCGGGAGCCAUUCUACACAGCAUCCUACAGAAUGACUGUGGAUCUGCUGUGCUUAGUUUCUUUACUUGUGAAAACAGAGUAAUAGCAGCACCUACCUCACAGGGUUGUUCUGAAGAUUAGAGGGGUUCUUUCAUGGGAAGCUCUAGAGCAGUGCUUGAGACAUGGCUGUAUUUUCAGACUACACCUGUCCCACCUGCGGGGAUGAGCAGCGGGACAAGCGCUGCUCGCGCCUCUCACCGCACCGCAUCC